CAAGCAAGCAAACAACAACAUGCUUGUAAUCCCAGCUCCUGAGUGGUAGAGGCAGGAGAAUUCCGAGUUCUAGGAUAGGCUGGGCGGUUUGGCAAGACUUUGUCUAUGUAAAAAUACAGAAUCAAAACUCACUAAGUAACUUCAAUAACCAGCAUGGCGCUUCUCUAUUGGCCCAGCCUUCAGGAAGCAGAGGCAGGAGGAAGAUCACUGCAUUCAAGGUUACCCUACUUUAUUAGCUGUAGGCCAGCCAGGACUGGAGUGAGACCCACCCACCUUGCUAUCAUCCUCAUAGUGUAUAGCGCUGUCUCAUUUUUAUUCCUUCUCUCUCUACUAGGGGAAACUGGCUCUUUAGUUGUUGUUUUUGUAUGUAUAUGCGUGUAUAUGUGUACACAUAUGUUGAGGCCUAGAUUUCACAGAACCUAAUCCUCUUUUAGCCAAAACCCAAGGAGUAUUCUUGUUUCUGCCUCCCAAGUGCUGGGGUUACAGGAGCACACUGCCUUGCCUGGCUUUUUCCUUUGGUGCUGGGGAUCAGGCUCAGAAACUUUUUAUUUGUUCUCUUUUUUCAGGACUCAAUACAAGUAAAAAGAAUGUUUUUAUUUUUCUCUUAUACAAUUGAGAGUGUAUUUUACAUUUAUGUGACUUUUCACCCUUUGCUGAUUUUACUUAGAAACUUUUCCUUAAUAACUAAAAAAAAAAAAUAAAU
RNAcentral lists this long non-coding RNA (703 nucleotides) under Rattus norvegicus (Norway rat). RNAcentral describes it as "long non-coding RNA NONRATT007095". The record is from RNAcentral. Lineage: Eukaryota; Metazoa; Chordata; Mammalia; Rodentia; Muridae.